Molecule: long non-coding RNA, 400 nt
Organism: Orussus abietinus
Lineage: Eukaryota; Metazoa; Arthropoda; Insecta; Hymenoptera; Orussidae
Exons: 3
Source: RefSeq, a predicted model, not a curated record
ACAAAAAUAGUAAAAAGUAGAUCGGCAUCGUAUGUAUCGAGCGUUGUUCUUUGUCCAAUAAAACAGGGAAAGUCCAAGGUUUCACGGGUUCUACGGUUUGUUUUGUUGGACUGUGCAUUUAAAUUUGGCGAUUCCUUUAAAUGGAGAGGCUUGGUCACGUGGGGCGUUCCAGUUGGCGACUAGUUCACGAGGCGCUCCGAGAGAUGGCGAAACCCUCUUGUGCUGCCCUCGGUGGAGAAUGCAGUCAGCUAACGCACUUACCCUCAACAGCGGUUCAUUUCUGAUAAUAUCAGAGAUGAUCUCUGGUACUAGCGAUGGCCGACCCCAUGCUUUCCGCAAUCAAGGCACAGAUGAUACAUGUGCUAAAGAACAUGGAGAAUCUAAAGAGUUCCAUUGGCUG